CUCCGUGGACUAAACCAAAGCCCACUCAGCCCAUUAUUACAGCUCUCGUCCUCCACGACGGACGUCUGCUCUUCGAAUCGGCAAACUUCAUCGGAGACUCUGCUUAAAACACUCGACUAAAUAAAUUCAUCAAUUCUUUUCCACAGAAGAAAAAAAAGGAAAGAAGAAACUCUGCCGGAAAUGCAGAGCCAAGAGGACAUUCGUAAUUUACCUAUCGAUAUCGCAUUCGCUCGUCUGGGAGAAUGGUUGGUGGAUCGGAGGAGAAUUCCGGCGGACUGGCGGAAGCGAUUGGCGGCAGUGAGAGCCAAGAUAUCGGCAGCGUUUGCCUCGCUUCCCAAAGACCUUGAUCCUUACUUCCAAACCCUGGACCCUGAAGGCAUUAGGUACUUAGAAGCCAAAGAAAUAUAUGAGAUUCUCCUCAAGUCAACUCCAGAAAGCCGUAAUAUAUUUGGAAGGCUUUCAGGUGCUGCUGGUGCUUGGGAGGCAAUUGUGCGUGCUUUUGAGAAGGAUUCAAUUUUCCUGGGAGAGGCUGCUCAGAUAAUGGUCCAAAAUGUUAAUUAUGAAAUACCUUAUCAGAAGAAGCAGGUACAGAAGAUUCAGCAGCAACUUGUUGAACUGGAGCGGAAGGAAUCUGAGAUAAAAAGAAAUGCAGCCCUUUCAGCAACUAAAUAUGCAGAGGCUUGUCAGGAUCUGGGAUUGCAGGGAGUAAAUGUGAGGUCAGAGCUGUUAGAAACUGCAAGUAAAACUCUUCCAAGCACAUUUAGCAGGAUACUAGAAGUAUUGAAUGGUGAUUCUGUGUCACUGGCUAUUGAAUUCUAUUCAGCCUUUGUCAGAGAUGCUCAUUCUGAACAGGAGAAAACUGUGGGGACUGUGUUGCCAAAUUUAAGAGAAGUCCGUGAAAAGCCACCUUCUAUUACAAUUUCUGUUUGCUCUGAAGCUGUUGAUUCUGCUGUUGCUCAACCCAGCCAGAGCGAACCAAACAAAAUAGCUGGGGAGACAGACUUUGCAGCCGACAGUAUUGAUUGGGAUAUUACAUUGGACAGCUCCCAGAUUGACUGGGAUAUUGGUACCAUAGAAGAGACAGAAGAAAAUGGCAAUGGACUUGGUCCUUAUGAAAUUGUUAAUGCUAGUGAUUUACCAAAUUCUGCUGAUAGUGAAGGUAUUGAGUUGGAUGAGACGGGACUGAUGAAGGAGGAGUUUCCAGCACCUGAGGUUGCUACAUCAGAGAUCUCCUGGGAUAUAAGUGUUGAAAAUCCUGAAUUCAAUGUAACUGAGGAAGCUGGUUCUUCUGGUUUGCAUUCGGAGCCUUCCUUGUUCACGCCAAACACUUCAUCAGAAGUCCAAGGCAGUGCAAAAGAGAGAAGUCCCCUUCUGGAGACUGAUUAUAGGAAUAAGAUUCUUGAUGAUCUGUUUGAGGUUAAUAUGGCUUUAAACCUGUUACUUGAUACCUUUAGUAGUUGCUAUCAUGAUUUUCUUUGUUUGUUUCUUUGUUUUCUUUUCUUUUAUGAAAUUUUCUAUAUAAUUCUUGAUUUUCAUUUGACAUUCUUUCAUCAGGUUAAAGCAUUUCUGAAUCAACGCUUGAGUGAAUUAACAAAUGAAGAAACUCUGUCAUUGCAACAUCAAGUCCAGGCAGUUGCUCCUUUUGUCCUGCAGCAGUACUCUUCUGAUUCAAUCCAGCCAAUGGUUUCUGACGUUUCAUUGGUUAUAUCAUUGCUAACAAAUAGGAAAACGAGGGACCUUAUUAUGAUUCUCAACUCAAAAAGCUGAGUAUUUACUGUAGAUGCUUCCCAAUUUCAGAUUUUUGGAUAGACUGGUGAAGACCUUGGAAGACAAAAAGCACCACGAGAUCAAGUUAAAGGAGGGAUUGAAGGAUUUGGCUAUUAGGCGGAUGGAGCUUCAAAAUUUAUUAUCUUCUUCAUGGCCAAAACAAGAAUUGGCGUUAGCAAAGACCCGAGAGUUAAAGAAACUUUGUGAAUCUACACUUUCGUCAAUGUUCGAUGAAAGACCGGUUAAUAUAAUUGGAGAGAUAAAUACGUUGCUGAGUAGUAGUAUUUUCAGUGCGUAGAUGCUUGUGAAACUUCUCUCUUUCUUCCCUGUCCAUUUUUGACUAGGAAAUGGACGAACGUGGAAAUCAGAACUGAUCGUUGUAAAAACUAUUUAGCAAAUAUAUUUGAUUGAAGUUAUAACAUGGCUAGAGAUU
Non-coding RNA from Coffea arabica (coffee), 2200 nucleotides. Lineage: Eukaryota; Viridiplantae; Streptophyta; Magnoliopsida; Gentianales; Rubiaceae. The record is from RefSeq and is a predicted model, not a curated record.